This 197-nucleotide ribosomal RNA is filed under the name uncultured bacterium. RNAcentral's name for it is "partial 16S ribosomal RNA". It matches the Rfam family "Bacterial small subunit ribosomal RNA", at positions 328 to 539 of the family's 1533-position model. The record is from RNAcentral.
ACGCUCGACACCUACGGGAGCAGCAGUGGGGAAUAUUGCACAAUGGGGGAAACCCUGAUGCAGCGACGCCGCGUGAAGGAAGAAGUAUCUCGGUAUGUAAACUUCUAUCAGCAGGGAAGAAAGUGACGGUACCUGACUAAGAAGCCCCGGCUAACUACGUGCCAACAGCCGCGGUAAUCUGAGCGGGCUGGCAAGGC